AAAAGGUGGCUAUGCUACCGCUUUUGGAUGGGCCCGCGGCGCAUUAGCUAGUUGGUGGGGUAAAGGCUUACCAAGGCAAUGAUGCGUAGCCGAACUGAGAGGUUGAUCGGCCACAUUGGGACUGAGACACGGCCCAAACUCCUACGGGAGGCAGCAGUAGGGAAUCUUCCACAAUGGGCGAAAGCCUGAUGGAGCAACGCCGCGUGGGUGAAGAAGGUCUUCGGAUCGUAAAACCCUGUUGUUAGAGAAGAAAGUGCGUGAGAGUAACUGUUCACGUUUCGACGGUAUCUAACCAGAAAGCCACGGCUAACUACGUGCCAGCAGCCGCGGUAAUACGUAGGUGGCAAGCGUUAUCCGGAUUUAUUGGGCGUAAAGGGAACGCAGGCGGUCUUUUAAGUCUGAUGUGAAAGCCUUCGGCUUAACCGGAGUAGUGCAUUGGAAACUGGGAGACUUGAGUGCAGAAGAGGAGAGUGGAACUCCAUGUGUAGCGGUGAAAUGCGUAGAUAUAUGGAAGAACACCAGUGGCGAAAGCGGCUCUCUGGUCUGUAACUGACGCUGAGGUUCGAAAGCGUGGGUAGCAAACAGGAUUAGAUACCCUGGUAGUCCACGCCGUAAACG
This 618-nucleotide ribosomal RNA is filed under the name uncultured bacterium. RNAcentral describes it as "bacterial SSU rRNA". It matches the Rfam family "Bacterial small subunit ribosomal RNA", at positions 202 to 808 of the family's 1533-position model. The record is from RNAcentral.